RNAcentral lists this ribosomal RNA (492 nucleotides) under uncultured bacterium. Its description in RNAcentral is "partial 16S ribosomal RNA". It matches the Rfam family "Bacterial small subunit ribosomal RNA", at positions 29 to 507 of the family's 1533-position model. The record is from RNAcentral.
AGUGAACGCUGGCGGUAGGCCUAACACAUGCAAGUCGAACGGCAGCACAGUAAGAGCUGGCUCUUACGGGUGGCGAGUGGCGGACGGGGGAGGUAUACAUCGGAAUCUACUUUUUCGUGGGGGAUAACGUAGGGAAACUUACGCUAAUACCGCAUACCACCUACGGGGGAAAGCAGGAGAUCUUCGGACCUUGCGCGAUUGAAUGAGCCGAUGUCGGAUUAGCUAGUUGGCGGGGUAAAGGCCCACCAAGGCGACGAUCCGUAGCGGGUCUGAGAGGAUGAUCCGGCACACUGGAACUGAGAGACGGUACAGACUCCUACGGGCGGCAGAAGUGGGGAAUAUUGGCAGAUGGGCGCAAGACUGAUCCAGCCAUACCGCGUGGGUGCAGAAGGCCUUCGGGUUGUAUAGCCCCUUUGUUGUGAAAGAAAAGCAGCAGGUUAAUCCACCGCUGUUCUGACGGUACCCAAAGAAUAAGCACCGGCUAACUUCGUG